This is a long non-coding RNA of Meriones unguiculatus (Mongolian gerbil), 252 nucleotides long. RefSeq lists it as uncharacterized. The transcript has 2 exons. NCBI's taxonomy places the organism in Eukaryota, Metazoa, Chordata, Mammalia, Rodentia, Muridae. The record is from RefSeq and is a predicted model, not a curated record.
CGGAAGAGCUCAGCGGUGGAACCCGACUGAAAGGAAAUGAGAAGCCCUGCUUUGCUGCAGCUUCAAGACUGGGUCCCUGUACCUCCUGCAAGGGUGCUGGCCUCAGUAAACCAGGGUCUUACUAUGUAUCUCAGGCUGUCCUUGAAUGUGAAAUCAUCUUUCCUCAGCCUCUCACAUGCUGGGAUUACAGAUGGGUACCACCAUGGGAAGUCCUAUUACAUGCUGUUUUGCAAAGUACAUGCAGGCUUAGAA